UAAACGACUCUCGGCAACGGAUAUCUCGGCUCUCGCAUCGAUGAAGAACGUAGCGAAAUGCGAUACUUGGUGUGAAUUGCAGAAUCCCGUGAACCAUCGAGUCUUUGAACGCAAGUUGCGCCCGAAGCCAUUAGGCCGAGGGCACGCCUGCCUGGGCGUCACACGUCGUUGCCCCCCCCAACCCCUUCGGUGGCUUGGACGGGACGGAUGAUGGCCUUCCCGCGUGCGCUGUCACGCGGUUGGCUCAAAUGCCGA
RNAcentral lists this ribosomal RNA (255 nucleotides) under Potentilla parvifolia. RNAcentral describes it as "5.8S ribosomal RNA". The stretch from base 6 to 161 matches the Rfam family "5.8S ribosomal RNA". Rfam says of the family: 5.8S ribosomal RNA (5.8S rRNA) is a component of the large subunit of the eukaryotic ribosome. The record is from RNAcentral. Lineage: Eukaryota; Viridiplantae; Streptophyta; Magnoliopsida; Rosales; Rosaceae.